GGGCUUGUAGCUCAGGUGGUUAGAGCGCACGCCUGAUAAGCGUGAGGUCGGAAGUUCGAGUCUUCCCAAGCCCA
RNAcentral lists this transfer RNA (74 nucleotides) under bacterium TMED190. RNAcentral's name for it is "tRNA-Ile". It matches the Rfam family "tRNA". Rfam says of the family: Transfer RNA (tRNA) molecules are approximately 80 nucleotides in length. Their secondary structure includes four short double-helical elements and three loops (D, anti-codon, and T loops). RNAcentral also lists the same sequence under 1 other name. The record is from RNAcentral.